RNAcentral lists this ribosomal RNA (253 nucleotides) under uncultured bacterium. Its description in RNAcentral is "partial 16S ribosomal RNA". It matches the Rfam family "Bacterial small subunit ribosomal RNA", at positions 524 to 776 of the family's 1533-position model. The record is from RNAcentral.
UACAGAGGGGGCAAGCGUUGUUCGGAAUUACUGGGCGUAAAGGGCGCGUAGGCGGCCUGCUAAGUCGAACGUGAAAUCCCCGGGCUCAACCCGGGAACUGCGUCCGAUACUGGCAGGCUUGAAUCCGAGAGAGGGAUGUGGAAUUCCAGGUGUAGCGGUGAAAUGCGUAGAUAUCUGGAGGAACACCGGUGGCGAAGGCGGGUCUCUGGGCAACAACUGACGCUGAGGAGCGAAAGCGUGGGGAGCGAACAGG